Long non-coding RNA from Sciurus carolinensis (gray squirrel), 716 nucleotides. RefSeq lists it as uncharacterized. The record is from RefSeq and is a predicted model, not a curated record. NCBI's taxonomy places the organism in Eukaryota, Metazoa, Chordata, Mammalia, Rodentia, Sciuridae. The transcript is spliced from 6 exons.
AUUUAAAGUAUAAUUGAACAAAAUUCCAUGUUGAUCGCCUCACAAAUCAGGUCCUAGAAUGGACUUUAAAUGACAAAUGAACACACUUGAAGAAUGUACAAAACACUGUUUUUAGGAAAUUGGGAUCUCAAUGUGAGAGUCUGUACUUACUAGAAUAUUCUUCGAAUGGAAAGUUAUAUCCCUUUCACCGUCAGUGGAAAAUAGCCCAGGUGUCUGAGUUUCAAGUAAAGAAUUAUGGGGUUUUCAAGAUGGCAGAAUGGAGGAGGUCACUUUAUUGGCUGGUCCAAGGAGUGAAACCAAGAAAGCAGAAAGGCAGCUACUCAGCAAGAGACUGUGGAUUCUCUAUGGGAAACUCAGUAGAUCAAUUAGUUGCAUGAAUGCUCUGGAUAUUAAUGAGUAUGUAAAGGAAACUGAUAUUAUAGAAAUGAAUUGAAGAAGGAGCACAUGAUUUUUAAUGAUACAAAGAUGCAGAAUCCAUGGAUGUGGAGGGCCAAUUGUAACUACAUCUGCUUUCAAGUAUCAGGAGAAAAUUUAGCCAUCUUUAAAAGGAUUGACGAUGCUGCCAAUAGUCAAUCAAAUUUCAAAAAUGAAAUAUUAACAAUCACCUGUAAGUGUUGUGAAAACAGGUACUAGGGAAAUCUAAAAUAGCAAAACAACAUUUAGAUGGAAAAAAAAAAUAAAAACACCAAACUUGCUUAUCUGUUAAAGUGCAGAGA